Molecule: long non-coding RNA, 406 nt
Filed under: Linum usitatissimum (flax)
Lineage: Eukaryota; Viridiplantae; Streptophyta; Magnoliopsida; Malpighiales; Linaceae
Description: long non-coding RNA (LUSI_LNC003461)
Source: RNAcentral
UUCCCUCUUCACCCACCCAAUCAUCGCCCAGCUCGAGAACACACCCGACCCAUACGACGACUCCGACCCGACCGUCGCCCGCUACGAGUGGACCCUCCUCAUCUUCCAGUUCUGGUACUCGAUCUUCCUCUUCGCAUUCUCUCUCCUCUCCACCGCCGCCGUCGUCUUCACCGUCGCCUCCCUCUACACCGCCAAGCCGGUAUCCUUCUCCUCCACCGCCGCCGCGAUCCCCAAGCUCUUCAAGCGCCUCUUCGUCACCUUCAUCUUCGUCGCCCUCCUCAUGUUCCUCUACAACGCCGUCUUCCUCAUCGUCCUCGUGAUAUUCGUCAUCGUGAUCGACACCUCCACCGCCGCCGAUCAGAGCCCCGGCCUCAUCCUGUUCGCCCUCCUAAUCGUAUUCGCCGUC